This is a non-coding RNA of Biomphalaria glabrata, 91 nucleotides long. The record is from Rfam. Lineage: Eukaryota; Metazoa; Mollusca; Gastropoda; Planorbidae.
UCUUACGACUAUGAUGACAAUAUUUUUUCCCCGUCUUAUCGAGAUGUGAAGAUAAAAUUGACUUUAAGCCAAUUUUGUCUGAGUCUAGAGC